RNAcentral lists this long non-coding RNA (298 nucleotides) under Gorilla gorilla gorilla (western lowland gorilla). Its description in RNAcentral is "lncRNA (ENSGGOG00000044646.1)". The record is from RNAcentral. Lineage: Eukaryota; Metazoa; Chordata; Mammalia; Primates; Hominidae.
GAAACAGCAGGCCCUAGUGAACAGCCCUGCUAAGAAUCUCCCUGAACCCUCCUGUUUGUAUCUAUUUCUGAACUAUCGUAGAAAAGGUAGAAGAAAAACAUCAUCCAAUGCAAAGAAAAAAGGUCCAAAAAGAAGUCACCUGAAUACAUUCUCACACAACCCCUGAAACACAAGCCUUCACCUUUUUGUGCCCCUAGCAAGGAAAUACAGUACCUUACAUGCUCAGUUAAUGCUGAUUAAUCUGAUUUGAUUCAUUCAACUCUGAAGAGAUAACUAAGAAUUCCAGAUGAAAGAUGCU